CUGGCGGCGUGCCUAAUACAUGCAAGUCGAGCGAACGGACGAGAAGCUUGCUUCUCUGAUGUUAGCGGCGGACGGGUGAGUAACACGUGGAUAACCUACCUAUAAGACUGGGAUAACUUCGGGAAACCGGAGCUAAUACCGGAUAAUAUUUUGAACCGCAUGGUUCAAAAGUGAAAGACGGUCUUGCUGUCACUUAUAGAUGGAUCCGCGCUGCAUUAGCUAGUUGGUAAGGUAACGGCUUACCAAGGCAACGAUGCAUAGCCGACCUGAGAGGGUGAUCGGCCACACUGGAACUGAGACACGGUCCAGACUCCUACGGGAGGCAGCAGUAGGGAAUCUUCCGCAAUGGGCGAAAGCCUGACGGAGCAACGCCGCGUGAGUGAUGAAGGUCUUCGGAUCGUAAAACUCUGUUAUUAGGGAAGAACAUAUGUGUAAGUAACUGUGCACAUCUUGACGGUACCUAAUCAGAAAGCCACGGCUAACUACGUGCCAGCAGCCGCGGUAAUACGUAGGUGGCAAGCGUUAUCCGGAAUUAUUGGGCGUAAAGCGCGCGUAGGCGGUUUUUUAAGCCUGAUGUGGAAGCCCACGGCUCAACCGUGGAGGGUCAUUGGAAACUGGAAAACUUGAGUGCAGAAGAGGAAAGUGGAAUUCCAUGUGUAGCGGUGAAAUGCGCAGAGAUAUGGAGGAACACCAGUGGCGAAGGCGACUUUCUGGUCUGUAACUGACGCUGAUGUGCGAAAGCGUGGGGAUCAAAAC
RNAcentral lists this ribosomal RNA (756 nucleotides) under uncultured bacterium. RNAcentral describes it as "bacterial SSU rRNA". It matches the Rfam family "Bacterial small subunit ribosomal RNA", at positions 36 to 774 of the family's 1533-position model. The record is from RNAcentral.